Sebastes umbrosus (honeycomb rockfish) is the source of this 1922-nucleotide long non-coding RNA. RefSeq lists it as uncharacterized. Lineage: Eukaryota; Metazoa; Chordata; Actinopteri; Perciformes; Sebastidae. The transcript is spliced from 3 exons. The record is from RefSeq and is a predicted model, not a curated record.
AUCUGAAAGAUACUAUUGUAAAACAUGUGGUGACACCAGGUGAGCUCCAGCUGCAUGAGCAGGUGUUGGAUGAUAUUUUCCAGUGUGUAGGCUUCUACAAGUAGCUUCAACUGUGGUUUGGUGUUCACAGUGGCAGAGAAGACCAGGGAGUUGAGAAAGGUGAACACAAACACCACUCCGUUGAUGCUGAUGGAUACAUCCCCCUCCUUCCCAGCUUCAACUUCUGAUUUUGGUUGAAAACCUUCCAGGCCAUCUUCUCGGAUGUUGUCUUUGGAAUCCUCCAAAACAAAGAUUUGGAUAUUCAGUUCUGCCUGGCCAGAGUCGAUGAGCUACACAGAACAACUGAAGAGGAGAAAGAAAAGUUUGACAGGGUCUAUGAAGAAACUCAGGCUUUGGUUGGCCCUCCGCGUGGCAGUGGGGCUCAAGGAGACGUUUGCUCACUGUACAGGGAGCUCUACUGCAGCGUAAUUGACAGCAUCCUAACACAGAUUGUAAACGGCUUUAGUGACCACAAAAAGCUGGCGUUCCUGGAUCCACAACAGUCCAGGCGUUUCAGUGACCAUUUUCCCAAUGCUGCCUUCAGUUUGAUAGAGAGCUUUGCCCCAACUCGACACUGAACUCACCGUCAUGUAGGUUAUAGCAUUUCUGGAAGAGCCCAGCCAACAUUCAUCACUUUGGCCUUAAUUUCCAUUGAAAAGGAAUUGCUGAUGGAUUUAAAGGAUCAGUUACAUGACCACGCCAUCAGCCACUUCAUCCAAAAGGACAGGAGAAUGGACUUUGUUUCAAGUAAUGCGAUCAUCAAAGGAGGAAUAGGAUUACAAUUUGGACUGGUCCCGGGGCAGCGAGGAAGCCUGCCCUGCCUUUCAGCCGCAUUCUCUGCUCUGUGAAAGGAGCACAAGAAAGGCACAAAUCUGCCAGACAGGGCUCUCUGAGUGGGGGAUCCUAGAGGAGGAGGAUAGGAGGGCAUGGUGCCAGAGAACAAGGUGUGGAGGUUGGCUCAUAAUUACAAAAAAAUAUAAAUCCAAGACAUUUAUUAAAGGUCUGGUUCGGUGAAAUUACAAUACCAUAACUUCUCACUUACCUGUAGUGAUAUUUAGCCAUCCAUACACACAGUUUGGGUUUUAUUUGUGAUCACUGGGAUUUCAUCCUACACUAUAACACAAUCAUUUAGUGAUGCUCAUAGCAUUUAAAAAAAAAUACAUUAAAGAAAUCCAGCCGCAGCAUGUCUUUUAAUCAGUGGUGCAGUGUUAUUUAUUCAAGUAGAAUAUUUCCAUUUGAUGCUGCUUAUACUUACAUUUCUACAAUGGACAUGUUGUACUUACCUAUUCCACUUCAUUUAUCUGUCAGAUUAUUAAAGGUUUUUAUAAAAUAUAAUGUAUUGUUGUAAAUUAAACUGUAAAAUUGUUAGAGUUAGUUUCACCUCAACCAGCUACAACAUUAACAUGCUGAUUACACAUCAGUUAUAAGAAUCCAAUAAUAUAAAGUUUCAUUCUAUAACACUGACAGGGGGAUUUUUGUCUGUACAGUACUUUUAAUACUUCACAAAAUGUAUGAUAAUUACAUACUGUCAUUGUCCAGCAAAAAUCAUGUAUCUCCAAUUUUGGUGAAUGUGAUUUUUGUUUAGAUUAAAUUGAACAAAUUGAAGUGUUCCUUUUUCCUAAUUCUUAAGCUCACUAAACAAUUUAAAUAUCUGAAAUAGGCCAAAAGGAUGAAAACAAGGCUAUUUUUUCUUUGCUUAUUAAAUGUUAAAGUUGAGAUGAAAUGAAAAAUGUCUUUAUAACCCUUUUAGAUUACAACCCCGUUCAUAUUGUGCACCUAUUUAACAAUAUAAGCAAAUAAAUAGAUAAAUAAAUUAUUGUUAUUAUAUUAAAAUCCAAUCAUCUUUUUUUCCUGUAAAACAAAAUAUGACGUGUGCUUACUAG